This 351-nucleotide ribosomal RNA is filed under the name uncultured Bacteroidota bacterium. Its description in RNAcentral is "bacterial SSU rRNA". It matches the Rfam family "Bacterial small subunit ribosomal RNA", at positions 43 to 397 of the family's 1533-position model. Lineage: Bacteria; Pseudomonadati; Bacteroidota. The record is from RNAcentral.
CAGGCCUAACACAUGCAAAUCGAGGGGUAGAAGCUUUCGGGCUUUGAGACCGGCGCACGGGUGCGUAACGCGUAUGCAAUCUGCCUUACACUAAGGGAUAGCCCAGAGAAAUUUGGAUUAAUACCUUAUAGUAUAUUUUUGUGGCAUCACAAGAUUAUUAAAGAUUUAUCGGUGUAAGAUGAGCAUGCGUCCCAUUAGCUAGUUGGUAUGGUAACGGCAUACCAAGGCUAUGAUGGGUAGGGGUCCUGAGAGGGAGAUCCCCCACACUGGUACUGAGACACGGACCAGACUCCUACGGGAGGCAGCAGUGAGGAAUAUUGGACAAUGGGCGCAAGCCUGAUCCAGCCAUGC